UCGAGAAUUUUUCACAAUGGGCGAAAGCCUGAUGGAGCGACGCCGCGUGGGGGAUGAAUGGCUUCGGCCCGUAAACCCCUGUCAUUUGCGAACAAACCUCGUAAUUUAAAAGAUGACGAGCUGAUUGUAGCGAAAGAGGAAGGGACGGCUAACUCUGUGCCAGCAGCCGCGGUAAUACAGAGGUCCCAAGCGUUGUUCGGAUUCACUGGGCGUAAAGGGUGCGUAGGUGGUUAGGUAAGUCUAAUGUGAAAUCUCCGAGCUUAACUCGGAAACUGCAUCGGAUACUAUCUAGCUUGAGGGUUGGAGGGGGGACUGGAAUACUUGGUGUAGCAGUGAAAUGCGUAGAUAUCAAGUGGAACACCAGUGGCGAAGGCGAGUCCCUGGACAACUCCUGACACUGAGGCACGAAAGCUAGGGGAGCAAACAGGAUUAGAUACCCGAGUAGUCCCUGAGCGGGCUGGCAAGGCGCAU
RNAcentral lists this ribosomal RNA (471 nucleotides) under uncultured bacterium. Its description in RNAcentral is "bacterial SSU rRNA". It matches the Rfam family "Bacterial small subunit ribosomal RNA", at positions 355 to 825 of the family's 1533-position model. The record is from RNAcentral.